This 253-nucleotide ribosomal RNA is filed under the name uncultured bacterium. Its description in RNAcentral is "partial 16S ribosomal RNA". It matches the Rfam family "Bacterial small subunit ribosomal RNA", at positions 524 to 776 of the family's 1533-position model. The record is from RNAcentral.
UACGGAGGGUGCGAGCGUUAAUCGGAAUUACUGGGCGUAAAGGGUGUGUAGGUGGUUAAUUAAGUUAUCUGUGAAAGUCCUGGGCUCAACCUGGGAAGGUCAGAUAAGACUGAUAGACUUGAGUAUAGGAGAGGGUAGUGGAAUUUCCGGUGUAGCGGUGAAAUGCGUAGAGAUCGGAAGGAACACCAGUGGCGGAGGCGGCUACCUGGCCUAAUACUGACACUGAGGCACGAAAGCGUGGGGAGCAAACAGG